This 401-nucleotide ribosomal RNA is filed under the name uncultured bacterium. Its description in RNAcentral is "bacterial SSU rRNA". It matches the Rfam family "Bacterial small subunit ribosomal RNA", at positions 28 to 421 of the family's 1533-position model. The record is from RNAcentral.
GACGAACGCUGGCGGCGUGCCUAACACAUGCAAGUCGAACGAGAUCCAUGGGAGCUUGCUCCCGGAAGAUCUAGCGGCGAACGGGUGAGUAACACGUGAGAAACCUGCCCUGGAGUGGGGAAUAACUCGGGGAAACUCGUGCUAAUACCGCAUACCCUCGGAUGGUCGCAUGGCCGACCGAGGAAAGAUUUAUCGCUCUAGGAGGGUCUCGCGGCCUAUCAGCUAGUUGGUGGGGUAACGGCCUACCAAGGCAACGACGGGUGGCUGGUUUGAGAGAACGAUCAGCCACACUGGGACUGAGACACGGCCCAGACUCCUACGGAGGCAGCAGUGGGGAAUCUUGCGCAAUGGGCGAAAGCCUGACGCAGCAACGCCGCGUGCGGGAUGACGGGCCUUCGUGG